AUGACUAGGUUUCCAAUCGGCUCCUUUGCAGGGAGGCGGGAACGUUCCCACCCCCACCCGCAAAACCAUCAAUGCGUGAUUGCGUUAUUGGGGCGUACGUGGUAACGUCAGGAGGCCGUAUCCUGAUUGGCGGUUGGAGCAAAUUUGAAAUCAGGCCGCGAAAACGUCCGGAGUAACGGAGCAGGCGCCAGGUGGAGAGUGGUGGACCAAGCGGAAAAUGGAAUCUGCCAUGGUCACUCUACGCAACAUGUUCGAGCAGUUGCUCAGACAGAUGGAAGUACUAAAUGAAGGAAUUGAACCUCAAUUUAUUCAGUUAGCCAAAAACUUUGAAGAAUGUAGGAAAAAAUGGCAAAAGACUGAAUUGGAGCUUUCCCGUGCUACAGAGUGCCUAACAAAAGCUGAGACUGAGCGAAGUGCACUCGAUGUCAAAUUGAAGCAUGCUCGUAACCAAGUUGAUGUAGAAAUGAAGCGUCGGCAGAAAGCAGAAACAGAGUGUGAAAGACUGGUAUGUCUGAUCUUAAAAUUUCAUUCUAAA
This is a long non-coding RNA of Rhincodon typus (whale shark), 535 nucleotides long. RefSeq lists it as uncharacterized. Lineage: Eukaryota; Metazoa; Chordata; Chondrichthyes; Orectolobiformes; Rhincodontidae. The transcript is spliced from 3 exons. The record is from RefSeq and is a predicted model, not a curated record.